UGUAGUUGGUGUAGUUCUUAGUUUUUCUUAUACGAGCGGAUAGAUGGCGCAAUAAUUUGUAUACUACCGCAUCAUUUGCGUUUCUAUGUGUGAACAGCGCAUCUGUACACGUGUCAUUGUGUGAGUUAGUUGCUUUGCUUUGCAGUAAACAUUCGAUGUUUUAGAUAAAAAUGGUCUUCACUUCACAGCAAGAUGUGUUAUUGUUAAUCGUGUAAACACUAGCAGAAGUAGUGACUGCAAAUUUUAUAGAUUUCCAAAAGUAGUGUGGAAACAAGAACAGCGCAAUAAAUGGAUAAUUGCCGUAAGGACAAAAAAUCCCGAUGGAUCUCUAUGGCACCCAAUUUGCAGUGCUCACUUUAUCGGUGGUAGAAAGGCUGAUGAACAAGUCAGUCCCAGUUAUGUUCCAAGGAUAUUUCCCCCGCAGUAAAAAACAAAACGGAUUGACGAAAAUGCGGCAAUAUCGAGGUUUCAACGUUAUAUGGAACGAAGAAAC
Long non-coding RNA from Cydia splendana, 493 nucleotides. RefSeq lists it as uncharacterized. Lineage: Eukaryota; Metazoa; Arthropoda; Insecta; Lepidoptera; Tortricidae. The transcript is spliced from 2 exons. The record is from RefSeq and is a predicted model, not a curated record.